GAUGAACGCUGGCGGCGUGCCUAAUACAUGCAAGUCGAGCGAACGGACGAGAAGCUUGCUUCUCUGAUGUUAGCGGCGGACGGGUGAGUAACACGUGGAUAACCCACCUAUAAGACUGGGAUAACUUCGGGAAACCGGAGCUAAUACCGGAUAAUAUUUUUGAACCGCAUGGUUCAAAAGUGAAAGACGGUCUUGCUGUCACUUAUAGAUGGAUCCGCGCUGCAUUAGCUAGUUGGUAAGGUAACGGCUUACCAAGGCAACGAUGCAUAGCCGACCUGAGAGGGUGAUCGGCCACACUGGAACUGAGACACGGUCCAGACUCCUACGGGAGGCAGCAGUAGGGAAUCUUCCGCAAUGGGCGAAAGCCUGACGGAGCAACGCCGCGUGAGUGAUGAAGGUCUUCGGAUCGUAAAACUCUGUUAUUAGGGAAGAACAUAUGUGUAAGUAACUGUGCACAUCUUGACGGUACCUAAUCAGAAAGCCACGGCUAACUACGUG
This 498-nucleotide ribosomal RNA is filed under the name uncultured bacterium. RNAcentral describes it as "partial 16S ribosomal RNA". It matches the Rfam family "Bacterial small subunit ribosomal RNA", at positions 28 to 507 of the family's 1533-position model. The record is from RNAcentral.